CACUGUGUCACCAGAGAAGUCCCUGUACACAUUUCGGAGACCUAUAGUGCUCCACAGGCUGGGCCAAUACCCUCAGCAGGAAUCCUGGUUCUUUUCUGGUGAAUGUAGAAAGCAAAACUUGAGAGCUGUUUGUGGACAAAAAUAAAACAAAGGUAAUUCUGAAUGUCAUGAAAGUGAAAAAAGAGAAGUGACGUUUCUGCUGACAAAAUGGCAAAGUGUAAGUUAAACCUAAAAAAAGCAUCAACCAAAGAAUAGAAGGAAUCAUCGUAUUUGAAGGAUGUUAAGCAGCCACAAAGACAGAGCCAAGUGAGUCCAAAAAAUGUCCAUGUUGUCCUGCCCUGAAAUGGGCUCCCAAAGUGGUGAAGGAAGAUAGAAAGACAAAGGACAAAAAUUAUUUAACAUGUAAAUUAGAGAGCUCUCUCCUCGGUCAAUUGGUUAUGAAGUCUGUAACCUAAAGCAGAGAUUUGAGAGAUCUAGGCUAAAUUGAAGCCCUUCCCUGCUACCUGAGCAAUUCACACACACACACACACACACACACACACGCAUGCACACUUCCUGGUUAACUUUGCCAAUUACAAUAUUGGAUUACCUUAAUAGUUCUCAAUUCUACCCAAAUAGACAUACCCCAGGCUGUCAGUUGGCAACAAUUGUAUUCUCUGAAAUUCCUUUAUGUAUGUCUGUGUUCACUCUUACUACUGAGUCAAUGUGGAAGGGAUGCAAGUGCAGUCAUUAUUCAAAGGGAUAUUGAGAAUUUUCUCCCAACUUUAAAGUCAAGCAACAUGAUCUCAUACUGGGAAUGCAUUUGAAAAACUGACAACAUACUCUUAAGAAAGAGUUAAUGCACCUUCAAACAGGAGCUAUUUCCUCUGAGUCCCCUUGCAUUUCCACACCCAGAAUGGCAGGCUCUAAGCCUCCAAGAGUCCUACAGUAUGUAAAGCAAAUAAUGAUUCAGGAGCCUUGGCCAGCUGAGCAGCCUGGGGGCAAGGAACACAUUCUGACCCUUCUCUCCACACAGCUGCCUUAGCCCAAAGACAUGUCCUGCCGGAAGCUGGGAGUAUUUUCCCCCCCUAAGAUGCAAAGCUAAGGAAGCAGGCUUAGCCAAGUUAUUGGUGUCAGUUCUUUCCAGGAAAGAUCCUCUUUUAGCUCUGAAGAAAAUGCUAGUGGAAGAAGACAGACUUCUGCCUAGAACAGAAAGAAUCCUGCUCUGCAGACUUGGUCAGUGUCCUAGUCCAUCUUGGCCAGUAAGUGGCACUCUUCCUCCAUAAGUGUUUUAACAGCCUCCAGAGUAAAAUGGAUCCUGCUUUCCAGUUCAUUUUUGCUACAGCUACUGUUACAAUAUUGUAACAAGGACAUGCCCUCAUUCCCAAAAAUAUUCAUCAUUAGAAAAACAAUAACCUCUUAUAUAGGAGUUUCUGAAAAGUCCAGAACUUUCACUCAACUUUUGCUUUUAAUUUGUGGCUUUGUACUCUUAAGGGGAAGUUGGUGGCCAGAACCACAAAGGAACAGGAAACAGCUGUAUGAAUGGCUGGUGCAGGUGAAGGAGGAGUGAAUGAGGGGAGCAUACUGCGAAUUUCUACAUUGGAGAGGAAGUACAGGCAUACUUUGCUUUAUCGCACUUCACAGAUAAUUGCACUUUUUACUAAUUGACGGUUUAUGACAACCCUACGUCAAGCAAGUCUAUUGGUGCCAUUUUCUAACAGCUUUUGCAUACUCCAUGUCUCUGUGUCACAUCACCUUAAUUUUCAGGAUUGUUCAAACCUUCACCGGCAAAAAAAUUCUGACUUGCUGAAGGCCCAGAUGACCAUUAGUAGUUUAUAGCAAUAAAGUAUUUUUUAAAUUAACGUAUGUAUGUAUGUGUGGUCAGGCCACUCAAGAUGGCUGCUCUCUUGCUCUCUGUACAUCCCCUGCCCCACCAGUGCCUGCUUCUUCACCUACACCCUAUGCACAUGACUGACCUUCUUAUGUACUUGCACCAGGCCCCAGCUAGUUAGUUAUCUUAUCAAAGGGGCGGUGAGGGGCGUGCCCCUCUACUGGUUUCCCUGGUAACUAAUGAGCCCACCUGAUGUCAAUUCCCCUAGAACUGGCAGUCUCCCCUUUGUUAGGGGAACCACUGACCAAAACUGCCCACCCUGGCCAGGCAAGAUAGUAGCCACUUGCAUGAGUUAUCUUACAACAGCAGGUCCUGGUAAGGAA
This is a non-coding RNA of Delphinapterus leucas (beluga whale), 2193 nucleotides long. The record is from RefSeq and is a predicted model, not a curated record. Lineage: Eukaryota; Metazoa; Chordata; Mammalia; Artiodactyla; Monodontidae.